Molecule: ribosomal RNA, 392 nt
Filed under: uncultured Anaeromyxobacter sp.
Lineage: Bacteria; Pseudomonadati; Myxococcota; Myxococcia; Myxococcales; Anaeromyxobacteraceae
Description: bacterial SSU rRNA
Rfam family: Bacterial small subunit ribosomal RNA
Source: RNAcentral
CGAGAAAGCCCGCAAGGGUGAGUACAGCGGCGCACGGGUGCGUAACACGUGAGUAAUCUGCCCUGGAGCCCGGAAUAACCUCCCGAAAGGGAAGCUAAUGCCGGAUGAGCCCACGGGGUCCUUGGACUCUGAGGGAAAAGGCGGCCUCUGUAUACAAGCUGUCACUUCAGGAUGAGCUCGCGGCCCAUCAGCUAGUUGGCGGGGUAAUGGCCCACCAAGGCUACGACGGGUAGCUGGUCUGAGAGGACGAUCAGCCACACUGGAACUGAGACACGGUCCAGACUCCUACGGGAGGCAGCAGUGGGGAAUCUUGCGCAAUGGGCGAAAGCCUGACGCAGCAACGCCGCGUGUGUGAUGAAGGUCUUCGGAUCGUAAAGCACUGUCGCGAGGGA